This 497-nucleotide ribosomal RNA is filed under the name uncultured bacterium. Its description in RNAcentral is "partial 16S ribosomal RNA". It matches the Rfam family "Bacterial small subunit ribosomal RNA", at positions 28 to 523 of the family's 1533-position model. The record is from RNAcentral.
GAUGAACGCUGGCGGCGUGCUUAACACAUGCAAGUCGAACGAAGCACUUUUACAGAUUUCUUCGGAAUGAAGUUUUAGUGACUGAGUGGCGGACGGGUGAGUAACGCGUGGGUAACCUGCCUCACACAGGGGGAUAACAGUUGGAAACGGCUGCUAAUACCGCAUAAGCGCACAGUACCGCAUGGUACAGUGUGAAAAACUCAGGUGGUGUGAGAUGGACCCGCGUCUGAUUAGCUAGUUGGCAGGGCAACGGCCUACCAAGGCGACGACCAGGCGCCGACCUGAGAGGGUGACCGGCCACGUUGGGACUGGGACACGGCCCAAACUCCGACGGGAGGCAGCAGUGGGGAAUAUUGCACAAUGGGGGAAACCCUGAUGCAGCGACGCCGCGUGAGCGAAGAAGUAUUUCGGUAUGUAAAGCUCUAUCAGCAGGGAAGAAGAAAUGACGGUACCUGACUAAGAAGCACCGGCUAAAUACGUGCCAGCAGCCGCCGUAA